Camelina sativa (false flax) is the source of this 645-nucleotide non-coding RNA. Lineage: Eukaryota; Viridiplantae; Streptophyta; Magnoliopsida; Brassicales; Brassicaceae. The record is from RefSeq and is a predicted model, not a curated record.
AAUUGAGAGAGAGAGAGAGAGUGAGCGACGAGAAAGAGUGAGCGACGAGAGAGAAUGAGAGCGCGAGAGAGAGAGUUCGAUUCUUCUAGUAGCGGCGGCGACAUGAAGAACAAGUCAAGAAGACGAGGAGGACGAUGAUUAUUUACUCAGAUUUAUUUGUUUGGACGAUGAAGAUUCAGAACACCAAAAACGGUGUCCGUCUGUCCGACGUGCUCUUACAGGUAACAAUGAUUGUCCGAGUCUCAUUCAGCAAAAAUCAUAGCCAUCGCAAGGCCACGAGAGAAAGAGAGAGAGAGAGAGAGAGAGAUAUCUCUUUCUCAACUCUACAAAUCGAUUUUGAUUAUUCUCUUUCUACUAUUACAAAGAUGUGUGAAUGUUUUGCUUUUGAAACAAACGCUCUGUUUUUGUUUAUUAAAUCAAUUGGUUUGUUGCUUCUUUUGAGGUGUUGAAACGGAACAGGUGUGUGUUAAACUGUUAAUGUGUUCCAACCCUGACGACGACGUUGACUCAGAUCUUUUUUUCCAAGGACAGUACCAAGUAUAUUCAGACCUAUAACGGUUGCCGGAGGAAGGUGUGUGCGUGCGUGUUCGUGUUCCAACUCUAAUCUGAAUGUUUUGCCUUUUACUCAGGCACGUCGUUCCAUUA